Pristionchus pacificus is the source of this 61-nucleotide non-coding RNA. The record is from Rfam. Lineage: Eukaryota; Metazoa; Nematoda; Chromadorea; Rhabditida; Neodiplogasteridae.
UCUUGAUUUCACGUACUCUCUCACCGGUCAGAAAGGCGAGAGAGCGUAUGAAAUGAAGAGA